Molecule: unclassified non-coding RNA, 812 nt
Filed under: Athalia rosae (coleseed sawfly)
Lineage: Eukaryota; Metazoa; Arthropoda; Insecta; Hymenoptera; Athaliidae
Description: misc RNA ENSAEAG00005004237.1
Source: RNAcentral
ACGAGCGAUUAAUGCUACAAGCGGUCUAACAAUUCGGUCGUUAAUUAAUUCUUUCUUUUCGUCUCCUUUCAUUUCAUCAACUUUUAGAGCAUCUCAUCAUUCGAAUUCUUUGAAUUUUUUCUCUCUCUCUCUUUUUCAUGUUAUAUACUUUGAGGAACAGCCGUUGCACGAUUUCACUGAUCUGAUCGAUUCGUUUAUCCGUCGGUGUUUUUCUUUUUCCUAGCUGCGGCGAUCGAGAAGGAUGCGAUGCGGGGUCCCAGAAGAGGUCCUUGCGUACAAAGCUGUAGCGCUCUUGCGGAGUUGCAGCCGUGCGGUGGUCGUAAUAUAUUAGCACUCGUUAGAAAACACAAACCAGAGGAUAAAAUAUACUGGGUAGGACGCACCGCGUUUCGUCCGGGCCGGUUGGCCGCCCGUCCCAGAGUGAAUCUUUUGGCCCCUUGGUUAUUUUUGGCUUCAUCCUAUACUCGCUAUUUCUACGUCAUCUUCAACAUCUUCCUUUUUACAAUAUAUAGAACAUGUACACGUACACGCGCGUGUGCAUGUGCGUGCGCGUGGUAAGUACCUGCUGGUAUGAUAUAUACAUGCGGUGUACACUCUUUGAUCAAAUUCAAACCAUAUACCCAGAGAUGAAAGAUGUUGCAAACGAUAUGGGAUGUGAAUUUUAUCCGCAAUUAUUUCUGUCCGAUCUCGUCGAGUUGUGCAGUUGGAUUCAGCGUUUGCUCCGAUGAUUAAAAUGCAGGAACUUUUCUUUUCACUUUGAAAUGUGAAUUAAUUAGUUCGGGAUAUUAUAUUUGCUUGGUGUAAAAAAAAAA